Heterocephalus glaber (naked mole-rat) is the source of this 1456-nucleotide non-coding RNA. The record is from RefSeq and is a predicted model, not a curated record. NCBI's taxonomy places the organism in Eukaryota, Metazoa, Chordata, Mammalia, Rodentia, Bathyergidae.
CGCCUCCUGCCUCUUCCCCGGCCUGGGCAGCGCAGAGUGGGCUGCUGAGCCCUUCGUAUUUAUACCUCCUUCCCGGCUUUGACAUAAGAGGCGAGGACCCACAUUAACUCCUAUGAUGCUGAAGUGGCCCUUGGAGGGACAGCAUUCUGAUCUCUGCGGAGUCACCCCGGAGGUCUGACAGUGUCAGGAGAAAGAGGUCUCCAGAGACGGUCCCAGAGCUUUUCACUGUAAAACACAAGUGAGAGAUGGAAAAGGUCAUACUAAAACUAUGGGGUCCAGAAAAAAAUCACCGCACAGCCUAAUAAGCGCCACUCUGUUAAGGGACCAAAGACCUGCUGUGCUCCCUGGCUGGUGGGGCACAGCAGGAACCUACUGGCAGUGAGGCAGCAGCAGGCGGUAUCAACCCAGAAAGCUAGCAGUUCCCCAGCAGGAAAGCAGGUUUCCAGUUCUGAAGAUGCUUGUCUUCUGCCAUACAAUACUGCCAGUUACUGUAUGGCAGGACAGCCCCGAGGACUUCAGGAAGGGUGGCAGGCCCCCCUUCACUGCACUGCACCGCUGCUCCGGGUCCAAGUGUGUAUGGGGCUGAUUUGUUGUGCCCCACACUGCCACUCCCCCUGGAGAAGAGAGUGGUGGUGGGGAUGCAGGCAAAGGAGGAUGACAUGGUCUCAAGACAGCAAAGCUCAGCAAUUGCAUCCCACUGUAGCCUCAAUGGCUUAGGCCUUGGUUGGAUUUCGAAUCCUGUCCUCUAGGUAAGGAGUCUAGACCUAGCCGCUCCAUCCCCAUGGCCUUUCUCUGAGGCUGGAAGAUCCCUUGGAAUCCCCAGGACCAAGGCCUUUAGAUCUUUUGCCAGCUCACCCACCCCCAGCCACCCAGCUCUUUGCUUAUGCUGGGGUAUGGACAGUUGAGGCCAUGCUUGCUUCUUUCUAUCACCUUCCCCCCUUGGGUAGUGGUGGAGCUUCAGCAUGACAUGGGAGACACUCAGGACUUCUUAUCUUCAAAGAGGAGGCUCUUGCAGACAUAGAAGUACUUCUGUGACUACAGAACUCAGGGACAGACCCUUCCAAAUUCCCCCAAGUGUCUCCUCUCUUUGCUUUCUGGUCAACACAAAAGGAUGGCUGUGAAUUUGACAAAAGGAUGAAUAUCUCAGCCCAGCCAGCCAUGGAAUCUUCUUCCCUACGGUAUAGGAAUAGCUUGAGUCUAGGACUUUUUUUUUUUUCAGGGGUGGGGCUCUUACAAGCAGAGGAAUGGAAAGAAUAGCCUCCUCUUUGUUUACCCCCAAAUGAGCCAAAACCUUCAUGGGAGCACAACAGUAUAAUAACCUUGGGACAGACUGACCUGCACAGACAAUGAGGAAUCCCAUUUUCUCCAGGACGGUGUGACAUUUCAGCCAUGUGUCUUUGCUGUCUUGAAGCCCUGUAUUUGCCCUUUCCCAGAAUGAAACUGAUUUUCAAUAGCA